AGAGAUGAACUCGAACAGUACAAGAAUUCCCAGCAUGAACUCCAAGCACGAGAUCAGCUCAAAGGAUGCAAAAAUUAAUUGAGGAUGAAUUACAAGAAAGACAUGAACUUGAACAAUGCAAGAGGGAUUUAGAGAACUUACAAGCAAGUGAAUAUCAAUGUAAGAGGAGCUGAAACAAACAAGACAGGAACUUGAUCAAUGCAAGAAGGAUUUAGAGCGCUUCCAAGCAAGGAUGGCUUUUGAGGCAUCUGUCGACAUGGGAAGCAGCGGAGCUUCAUGUGAGGACCUUAAUAAUCCUUGCAGAGAAUCAGAGCUAAGGAAGAUGUAUGAUAAAUUGAGACUACAAAAGUUGUCAAAGCAUAUAAUGGACAUAAAAAUGAAAUCAAAGAAAGACAAAACCAUAAGUGAAACAAAUGAAAAGGAAAGGCUUAAAGCAAUGCUGAAGGAAAUUUUCGAUAAAGCUCAACAAGACAUGAGUAAAAAGAAAGAAGAUUUUUUAUUCUUUUUCCAAGUUGACCUUAAUAAAGAGGAAGGUGAAAAAGGGGAGUUAAAGAAAACAGAAAUCAAAAAUACGAGACUGCAAACAAAGCAACUUAAAUACAUUGAAUUGGCUAUCCAAAAUAUUCAAAUGAUAAUGUUUCACGAAGAGGCUAGAGACCUUCAAACCAUGUACAAGCAACCUGACCUCUGUGUGAGCUGGCUGAUGAAUGUUACAAAGGUCGGCUGCCUGCUGGCUUUACACAAUCCACCUCU
Molecule: long non-coding RNA, 753 nt
Organism: Puntigrus tetrazona (Sumatra barb)
Lineage: Eukaryota; Metazoa; Chordata; Actinopteri; Cypriniformes; Cyprinidae
Exons: 9
Source: RefSeq, a predicted model, not a curated record